Molecule: ribosomal RNA, 285 nt
Filed under: uncultured Bacillota bacterium
Lineage: Bacteria; Bacillati; Bacillota
Description: uncultured Firmicutes bacterium partial 16S ribosomal RNA
Rfam family: Bacterial small subunit ribosomal RNA
Source: RNAcentral
CCAGCAGCCGCGGUAAUACGGAGGGUGCGAGCGUUGUCCGGAAUCACUGGGCGUAAAGGGUGUGUAGGCGGUUCUUUAAGUUUGGUGUGAAAUCUCCCGGCUCAGCCGGGAGGGUGCGCCGAAUACUGAGGGACUAGAGUGCGGGAGAGGAAAGUGGAAUUCCUGGUGUAGCGGUGAAAUGCGUAGAUAUCGGGAGGAACGCCAGUAGCGAAGGCGGCCUUCUGGGCCGGUACUGACGCUGAGGAGCGAAAGCGUGGGGAGCAAACAGGAUUAGAUACCCUGGUA